CUGGAAGGCUUGAGUACAGAAGAGGAAAGCGGAAUUCCACGUGUAGCGGUGAAAUGCGUAGAGAUGUGGAGGAACACCAGUGGCGAAGGCGGCUUUCUGGUCUGUAACUGACGCUGAGGCGCGAAAGCAUGGGGAGCAAACAGGAUUAGAUACCCUGGUAGUCCAUGCCGUAAACGAUGAGUGCUAAGUGUUAGGGGGUUUCCGCCCCUUAGUGCUGGAGCAAACGCAUUAAGCACUCCGCCUGGGGAGUACGGCCGCAAGGCUGAAACUCAAAGGAAUUGACGGGGACCCGCACAAGCGGUGGAGCAUGUGGUUUAAUUCGAAGCUACGCGAAGAACCUUACCAGGUCUUGACAUCCCGCUGACCGGUAUAGAGAUAUACCUUUCCCUUCGGGGACAGCGGUGACAGGUGGUGCAUGGUUGUCGUCAGCUCGUGUCGUGAGAUGUUGGGUUAAGUCCCGUAACGAGCGCAACCCUUGACCUUAGUUGCCAGCAUUUAGUUGGGCACUCUAAGGUGACUGCCGGUGACAAACCGGAGGAAGGUGGGGAUGACGUCAAAUCAUCAUGCCCCUUAUGACCUGGGCUACACACGUGCUACAAUGGACGGUACAGAGGGUUGCCAACCCGCGAGGGGGAGCUAAUCCCAUAAAACCGUUCCCAGUUCGGAUUGCAGGCUGCAACUCGCCUGCAUGAAGCAGGAAUCGCUAGUAAUCGUGGAUCAGCAUGCCACGGUGAAUACGUUCCCGGGUCUUGUACACACCGCCCGUCACACCACGAGAGUUUGUAACACCCGAAGUCGGUGGGGUAACCCUUUUGGGAGCCAGCCGCCGAAGGUGGGACAGAUGAUUGGGGUGAAGUCGUAACAAGGUAGCCGUAUCGGAAGGUGCGGUUGGAUCACCUCCUUAUCUUGCUG
RNAcentral lists this ribosomal RNA (912 nucleotides) under uncultured Sporosarcina sp. RNAcentral describes it as "bacterial SSU rRNA". It matches the Rfam family "Bacterial small subunit ribosomal RNA", at positions 633 to 1533 of the family's 1533-position model. The record is from RNAcentral. Lineage: Bacteria; Bacillati; Bacillota; Bacilli; Caryophanales; Caryophanaceae.